RNAcentral lists this unclassified non-coding RNA (272 nucleotides) under Hevea brasiliensis (rubber tree). The record is from RNAcentral. Lineage: Eukaryota; Viridiplantae; Streptophyta; Magnoliopsida; Malpighiales; Euphorbiaceae.
GAAGGAACCAUGGGAGAUUCUUGAGGGCAGUAACACCAACACAGGUUACUUCAUUACACCAUUGAAGAAAGAGAAGUCUCAUCAUACAAGAUUUAAGAGAAUUGUUGGGGAGGGUGGUACAUGGAAGAUACAAGACCCAGCCAAGAAAGUGUUGGAUGAAAAAGGUAGACUUAUGGGGUACGUACACCGUAUGAAGUACACUCCAGCCACUAACAAAAAGGCAAUAAUCAAGGAGUUAUUCGGGGAGUGGUUGAUGAUGGAAUACUCUUUGU